Molecule: ribosomal RNA, 1348 nt
Filed under: uncultured bacterium
Lineage: Bacteria
Description: bacterial SSU rRNA
Rfam family: Bacterial small subunit ribosomal RNA
Source: RNAcentral
GACGAACGUUGGCGGCGUGCUUAACACAUGCAAGUCGAACGGAAAGGCCCUGCUUUUGUGGGGUGCUCGAGUGGCGAACGGGUGAGUAACACGUGAGUAACCUGCCCUUGACUUUGGGAUAACUUCAGGAAACUGGGGCUAAUACCAGAUAGGAGCUCCUGCUGCAUGGUGGGGGUUGGAAAGUUUCGGCGGUUGGGGAUGGACUCGCGGCUUAUCAGCUUGUUGGUGGGGUAGUGGCUUACCAAGGCUUUGACGGGUAGCCGGCCUGAGAGGGUGACCGGCCACAUUGGGACUGAGAUACGGCCCAGACUCCUACGGGAGGCAGCAGUGGGGAAUAUUGCACAAUGGGCGGAAGCCUGAUGCAGCAACGCCGCGUGCGGGAUGACGGCCUUCGGGUUGUAAACCGCUUUCGCCUGUGACGAAGCGUGAGUGACGGUAAUGGGUAAAGAAGCACCGGCUAACUACGUGCCAGCAGCCGCGGUGAUACGUAGGGUGCGAGCGUUGUCCGGAUUUAUUGGGCGUAAAGGGCUCGUAGGUGGUUGAUCGCGUCGGAAGUGUAAUCUUGGGGCUUAACCCUGAGCGUGCUUUCGAUACGGGUUGACUUGAGGAAGGUAGGGGAGAAUGGAAUUCCUGGUGGAGCGGUGGAAUGCGCAGAUAUCAGGAGGAACACCAGUGGGCGAAGGCGGUUCUCUGGGGCCUUUCCUGACGCUGAGGAGCGAAAGCGUGGGGAGCGAACAGGCUUAGAUACCCUGGUAGUCCACGCUGUAAACGGUGGGUACUAGGUGUGGGGUCCAUUCCACGGGUUCCGUGCCGUAGCUAACGCUUUAAGUACCCCGCCUGGGGAGUACGGCCGCAAGGCUAAAACUCAAAGGAAUUGACGGGGCCCCGCACAAGCGGCGGAGCAUGCGGAUUAAUUCGAUGCAACGCGUAGAACCUUACCUGGGUUUGACAUGGAUCGGGAGCGCUCAGAGAUGGGUGUGCCUCUUUUGGGGUCGGUUCACAGGUGGUGCAUGGCUGUCGUCAGCUCGUGUCGUGAGAUGUUGGGUUAAGUCCCGCAACGAGCGCAACCCUUGUUCACUGUUGCCAGCACGUUAUGGUGGGGACUCAGUGGAGACCGCCGGGGUCAACUCGGAGGAAGGUGGGGAUGACGUCAAGUCAUCAUGCCCCUUAUGUCCAGGGCUUCACGCAUGCUACAAUGGCUGGUACAGAGAGUGGCGAGCCUGUGAGGGUGAGCGAAUCUCGGAAAGCCGGUCUCAGUUCGGAUUGGGGUCUGCAACUCGACCUCAUGAAGUCGGAGUCGCUAGUAAUCGCAGAUCAGCAACGCUGCGGUGAAUACGUUCCCGGGGCU